AUACGGAGGGUGCAAGCGUUACUCGGAAUCACUGGGCGUAAAGCGCGCGCAGGCGGGCUGAUAAGUUGGAUGUGAAAGCCUACGGCUCAACCGUAGAACUGCAUCCAAAACUGUCAGUCUAGAGUCUGGGAGGGGAAGAUGGAAUUGGUUGUGUAGGGGUAAAAUCCGUAGAGAUAACUAGGAAUACCAAAAGCGAAGGCGAUCUUCUGGAACAGUACUGACGCUGAGGCGCGAAAGCGUGGGGAGCAAACAGGAUUAGAAACCCUAGUAGUCC
Molecule: ribosomal RNA, 274 nt
Filed under: uncultured bacterium
Lineage: Bacteria
Description: partial 16S ribosomal RNA
Rfam family: Bacterial small subunit ribosomal RNA
Source: RNAcentral